RNAcentral lists this ribosomal RNA (478 nucleotides) under uncultured bacterium. Its description in RNAcentral is "partial 16S ribosomal RNA". It matches the Rfam family "Bacterial small subunit ribosomal RNA", at positions 28 to 523 of the family's 1533-position model. The record is from RNAcentral.
GACGAACGCUGGCGGCGUGCUUAACACAUGCAAGUCGAGCGGUAAGGCCCUUCGGGGUACACGAGCGGCGAACGGGUGAGUAACACGUGAGCAAUCUGCCCUCCACAUCGGGAUAACCCCCGGAAACGGGAGCUAAUACCGGAUACGACCACCUCAGGCAUCUGAUGGUGGUGGAAAGUUCCGGCGGUGGAGGAUGAGCUCGCGGCCUAUCAGCUUGUUGGUGGGGUAACGGCCCACCAAGGCUUCGACGGGUAGCCGGCCUGAGAGGGUGACCGGCCACACUGGGACUGAGACACGGCCCAGACUCCUACGGGAGGCAGCAGUGGGGAAUAUUGGACAAUGGGCGAAAGCCUGAUCCAGCAACGCCGCGUGAGGGAUGACGGCCUUCGGGUUGUAAACCUCUUUCAGCAGGGCGAAGCGCAAGUGACGGUACCUGCAGAAGAAGCACCGGCCAACUACGUGCCAGCCGCCGCAGUAA